CUCUGCUCCCCGAACUUCUGCCCUAGAGCCCUUCUGGACCCAUGAUAUUUACGUUUAUUUCCUCGCAAGAUUUUUACUCCUUGCUACAAGUUAUAGACUUUUAACUGGACAAAGCCAUGGUCAACUCUAGAAGAUUCAGCAAGAUCACCAUUAGGAAUCCUCCUUCAGGUGUUCCCAGAGGAUCUCAUUUAAUUGGCUAACCAUUACUGUACCUGCGAGUUGUGGGAAUAGAAAGUGAAGAUGCCACGUGGUGGAUGAACGGAUGACUGGGGUGGUGGUGUUCUGGAGCUCUGUUCCAGUCCAUUCUCUUGAGUGUCAAUAUCAUCUUUCCAAGUCCUCCCUCUUUCUCUGUUUAUCCACGUGGUACAGUUGUCAAGUUUAAAUUCAGUGAAAUUCUUCCUGGGCAUUAUUCUCUGCACACUUCCUUCAAGUCUACAGGCCAUCCAGCAGAGUGUUCUGAUUUCAGCCUCACAUUAUGUGUAAUUGCA
Bos taurus (domestic cattle) is the source of this 488-nucleotide long non-coding RNA. The record is from Ensembl. NCBI's taxonomy places the organism in Eukaryota, Metazoa, Chordata, Mammalia, Artiodactyla, Bovidae.